RNAcentral lists this ribosomal RNA (118 nucleotides) under Oncorhynchus mykiss (rainbow trout). Lineage: Eukaryota; Metazoa; Chordata; Actinopteri; Salmoniformes; Salmonidae. The record is from RNAcentral.
GCUUACGGCACACCCGGCCUGAGUACGCCUGAUCUCGUCCGAUCUCGAAGCUAAGCAGGGUCGGGCCUGGUUAGUACUUGGAUGGGAGACCGCCUGGGAAUACCAGGUGCUGUAAGCU